UGGGGAAUAUUGCACAAUGGGCGCAAGCCUGAUGCAGCCAUGCCGCGUGUAUGAAGAAGGCCUUCGGGUUGUAAAGUACUCUCAGCGAGGAGGAAGGCGGUAAGGUUAAUAACCUUAUCGAUUGACGUUACUCGCAGAAGAAGCACCGGCUAACUCCGUGCCAGCAGCCGCGGUAAUACGGAGGGUGCAAGCGUUAAUCGGAAUUACUGGGCGUAAAGCGCACGCAGGCGGUCUGUCAAGUCGGAUGUGAAAUCCCCGGGCUCAACCUGGGAACUGCAUUCGAAACUGGCAGGCUAGAGUCUUGUAGAGGGGGGUAGAAUUCCAGGUGUAGCGGUGAAAUGCGUAGAGAUCUGGAGGAAUACCGGUGGCGAAGGCGGCCCCCUGGACAAAGACUGACGCUCAGGUGCGAAAGCGUGGGGAGCAAACA
Molecule: ribosomal RNA, 427 nt
Filed under: uncultured bacterium
Lineage: Bacteria
Description: partial 16S ribosomal RNA
Rfam family: Bacterial small subunit ribosomal RNA
Source: RNAcentral